Molecule: long non-coding RNA, 1150 nt
Filed under: Mus musculus (house mouse)
Lineage: Eukaryota; Metazoa; Chordata; Mammalia; Rodentia; Muridae
Description: long non-coding RNA chr8:121086965-121088115
Source: RNAcentral
AACCCGUCAGCAAGUGAAAAGGGAUAGCCCCACCCCUAACGGAUUAUUUGUAAAGAAAAUCCCAACACAGACUGGGAGCAGCGUCUCUACCCUCACUCCCUCACUAAUUUCUAAAAAAACAGCGGCAGCCGGGGGCCAGGUCAGACUGCAGCUGUCAGUAAAUAAAUACUUUCAACCCCACUGAAACCAGCCACGGAGGUGCUGUGUCAUGUCGGGGGAAGCCAGAUACGUGGAAAGAAUUCUGCAGAGGUCUCUCCGCCCCUUCCACACCAAGGGACAGUUUUUAGAAGCAGGGGAACGUGAGACCAAUCAUUAUCAAAUACUUUGAUUUUUUUUUUUGGUUGAGUAUUUAUCUUUUAGUUUUUAACUUUUUGAAAGAAUGUCUUGAAAUGCACACAUCUCCCUUCCGCCAUCUUUUUCCCCACUCCCGGGGAGGAUGGGACCAGGAAUGGUCUCCCCUCUCCCAACCCGGGGUCUCCUCCAGCAAUCACAGGUGAAUCUCUAUGGGAAUGGCACACAUACCUGGAGCCACUGUUUGUCUUUUUAAAAAGGAAACAGUGUCACAGAAGUUGCUCCAGCCUUCAGCCAUCUAUUUUUUUUUCGACUCCAGUGUCUUUCACCUUGCUUGGAGUUACAUUUUGACUUUUCCCCUGGGUGUUCUUCUGUCUCUACUGUGACUCUCUGAAAAGAAAGGAACACACUGAGAUGAGGGAGUGGAGGGUCCAUCUGGCUGGUGUAGUUCAGGCUCACACUCUGACGCCUUGGCAGGCUUGGCCUGUUAUUUAUUCUGCUUUACCUUACUACUCAAAACACCACGUAGCUCUGCCCUCUCAGUAUUAAUGGUGUGACUUGGUUGGCAAUAUUUGCCGUGUAGAGUUGUUGUCAUUAUUGUGGGUUUUUUUGGUUUUUUGUUUUUGUUUUUUUUUUUUUAGAUAACCAUUGUAAAUUUGAAACAAAGACCAAUCUGUGUAAAAACAAAUUUCCAUAUGUUUUAUAUAAAUAUAUAUAAUAUGAGGGACUGUCCCCCCUUUUAGUCUUUUGGCCGCAGAGGUGCGGCAUCUGUGACACGUAUUUUAAACCUCCUUUCUGCACUGUAUAAAAGGGACAAUCUGAGGGUAUUGCUUUUUGUGUAUUUUUUUCCUACAAAAAG